GCAGACACAUUCCAGCCAAUCAGCAGCAGACCCUCCCUCCCAGACCCUCCCACCUCUUGGUCAGCUCACUAAGAAUGCAGCUUCAAAAUGGAUGCUGUCCAGGAGGUGGGAGGGUCUGGGAGGGAGGGUCUGCUGCUGAUUGGCUGGAAUGUGUCUG
Molecule: microRNA precursor, 157 nt
Filed under: Pelobates cultripes (western spadefoot toad)
Lineage: Eukaryota; Metazoa; Chordata; Amphibia; Anura; Pelobatidae
Source: RNAcentral